UGAGUGAAUACAUAGCUCAUGGAGGGAACACGCAGUGAACUGAAACAUCUAAGUAGCUGCAGGAAGAGAAAGAAAUUCGAUUUCCUUAGUAGCGGCGAGCGAACGGGAAAGAGCCCAAACCGGCAGAUUUAUCUGCCGGGGUUGUAGGACUGCAACGUGGCACUUUGGCGGAUAGCAGAAGCGCUUGGGAAAGCGCGCCAGAGAGGGUGAGAGCCCCGUAGGCGAAAUCCAAAGAAGGCCUAGCAGGAUCCUGAGUAGGGCGGGACACGAGAAAUCCCGUCUGAAUCCGCGAGGACCAUCUCGCAAGGCUAAAUACUAUCCAGUGACCGAUAGCGAACCAGUACCGUGAGGGAAAGGUGAAAAGAACCCCGGGAGGGGAGUGAAAUAGAACCUGAAACCGUGUGCCUACAAGUAGUCAGAGCCCGUUAAUGGGUAAUGGCGUGCCUUUUGUAGAAUGAACCGGCGAGUUGCGUUAGUCAGCAAGGUUAAGUCAGAAAAGACGGAGCCGCAGCGAAAGCGAGUCUGAAUAGGGCGAAGAGUUGGCUGAUGCAGACCCGAAACCAAGUGACCUACCCAUGACCAGGUUGAAGGCGCGGUAAAACGCGCUGGAGGACCGAACCCACGUAAGUUGAAAAUUGCGGGGAUGAGUUGUGGGUAGCGGUGAAAUUCCAAACGAACUUGGAGAUAGCUGGUUCUCUCCGAAAUAGCUUUAGGGCUAGCCUCGCAAAGAGGAUGCUGGAGGUAGAGCUCUGUUUGGACUAGGGGCCCGUCAGGGGUUACUGAAUCCAGAUAAACUGCGAAUUCCAGACAUUUGUAUGCGGGAGUCAGACUGCGAGUGAUAAGAUCCGUAGUCGAAAGGGAAACAGCCCAGAUCACCAGUUAAGGUCCCUAAAUACAUGCUAAGUGGGAAAGGAUGUGGAGUUGCGUAGACAACUAGGACGUUGGCUCAGAAGCAGCCAUCAUUCAAAGAGUGCGUAAUAGCUCACUAGUCGAGUGACGCCGCGCCGAAAAUUUAACGGGGCUAAGCAUGAUACCGAAACUGUGGAUGUGCAUUAUGCACGUGGUAGGAGAGCGUUCUAGCGGCGGCGAAGCAUGACCGGGAGGACAUGUGGAGCUUCUAGAAGUGAGAAUGCCGGUAUGAGUAACGAAAGAUGGGUGAGAAUCCCAUCCGCCGCAAGACUAAGGUUUCCUGGGGCAGGCUCGUCCGCCCAGGGUAAGUCGGGACCUAAGGCGAGGCCGAAAGGCGUAGUCGAUGGACAACAGGUAGAGAUUCCUGUACUGCACCGAAUCGUUAUGAGCGAAGGAGGGACGCAGGAGGCUAUCAGCGCGUGGGGCUGGAUCCACGUUCAAGCGACAAGCUUUGGAAUGAGUCAAAUGCUUAUUCCUUCAAGAGCAAGUCGUGAUGAGGAGCGAAAUUAUAGUAGCGAAGGCUGAGACGUCACACUGCCGAGAAAAGCUUCUAGCCAGAGACGGUGCACCCGUACCGCAAACCGACACAGGUAGUCGAGGAGAGUAUCCUCAGGUGAGCGAGAGAACUCUCGUUAAGGAACUCGGCAAAAUGGCCCCGUAACUUCGGGAGAAGGGGCGCUGGUCGCAAGAUCAGCCGCAGUGAAAAGGCCCAAGCAACUGUUUAUCAAAAACACAGGCAUCUGCAAAAUCGCAAGAUGAAGUAUAGGUGCUGACACCUGCCCGGUGCUGGAAGGUUAAGAGGAGAGCUUAGCGCAAGCGAAGGCUUGAAUUGAAGCCCCAGUAAACGGCGGCCGUAACUAUAACGGUCCUAAGGUAGCGAAAUUCCUUGUCGGGUAAGUUCCGACCUGCACGAAAGGUGUAAUGAUUUGGGCACUGUCUCAACGAGAGACUCGGUGAAAUUAUAAUACCCGUGAAGAUGCGGGUUACCCGCGACAGGACGGAAAGACCCCAUGGAGCUUUACUGCAGUUUAAUAUUGGGUAUCUGUCAAGCAUGUACAGGAUAGGUAGGAGCCU
This 1983-nucleotide ribosomal RNA is filed under the name Lactobacillus delbrueckii. RNAcentral's name for it is "bacterial LSU rRNA". It matches the Rfam family "Bacterial large subunit ribosomal RNA", at positions 155 to 2156 of the family's 2925-position model. Lineage: Bacteria; Bacillati; Bacillota; Bacilli; Lactobacillales; Lactobacillaceae. The record is from RNAcentral.